This 253-nucleotide ribosomal RNA is filed under the name uncultured bacterium. Its description in RNAcentral is "partial 16S ribosomal RNA". It matches the Rfam family "Bacterial small subunit ribosomal RNA", at positions 524 to 776 of the family's 1533-position model. The record is from RNAcentral.
UACGUAGGGGGCAAGCGUUGUCCGGAUUUAUUGGGCGUAAAGAGCGUGUAGGCGGCCAGAUAGGUCCGUUGUGAAAACUCGAGGCUCAACCUCGAGACGCCGAUGGAAACCAUUUGGCUAGAGUCCGGAAGAGGAGAGUGGAAUUCCUGGUGUAGCGGUGAAAUGCGCAGAUAUCAGGAAGAACACCUAUGGCGAAGGCAGCUCUCUGGGACGGUACUGACGCUGAGACGCGAAAGCGUGGGGAGCGAACAGG